Molecule: ribosomal RNA, 640 nt
Filed under: Leptolyngbya sp. EG1
Lineage: Bacteria; Bacillati; Cyanobacteriota; Cyanophyceae; Leptolyngbyales; Leptolyngbyaceae
Description: bacterial SSU rRNA
Rfam family: Bacterial small subunit ribosomal RNA
Source: RNAcentral
GGGAAUUCCCAGUGUAGCGGUGAAAUGCGUAGAUAUCGGGAAGAACACCAGUGGCGAAGGCGCUCUACUGGGCCACAACUGACGCUCAUGGACGAAAGCUAGGGGAGCGAAAGGGAUUAGAUACCCCUGUAGUCCUAGCUGUAAACGAUGGACACUAGGUGUUGCGCGUAUCGACCCGUGCAGUGCCGUAGCUAACGCGUUAAGUGUCCCGCCUGGGGAGUACGCACGCAAGUGUGAGAGUCAAAGGAAUUGACGGGGGCCCGCACAAGCGGUGGAGUAUGUGGUUUAAUUCGAUGCAACGCGAAGAACCUUACCAGGGUUUGACAUCCCUCGAAUCUCUGUGAAAGCGGAGAGUGCCUUCGGGAGCGAGGAGACAGGUGGUGCAUGGCUGUCGUCCGCUCGUGGCGUGAGAUGUUGGGUUAAGUCCCGCAACGAGCGCAACCCACGUUUUCAGUUGCCAGCAUUAAGUUGGGGACUCUGGAGAGACUGCCGGUGACAAACCGGAGGAAGGUGUGGACGACGUCAGGUCAUCAUGCCCCUUACAUCCUGGGCUACACACGUACUACAAUGGUUAGGACAAAGGGCAGCGAAGCCGCGAGGUGGAGCAAAACUCAUAAACCUAGCCUCAGUUCAGAUUGCA